This 70-nucleotide transfer RNA is filed under the name Elanus caeruleus. Its description in RNAcentral is "tRNA-Arg". Lineage: Eukaryota; Metazoa; Chordata; Aves; Accipitriformes; Accipitridae. The record is from RNAcentral.
AGAAAGGUAGUCUAACCAAAGACAGUUGAUUUCGACUCAACAGAUCAUAGACCCCCUCUAUGCCUCUCUU